This 253-nucleotide ribosomal RNA is filed under the name uncultured bacterium. RNAcentral's name for it is "partial 16S ribosomal RNA". It matches the Rfam family "Bacterial small subunit ribosomal RNA", at positions 524 to 776 of the family's 1533-position model. The record is from RNAcentral.
UACGGAGGGUGCAAGCGUUACUCGGAAUUACUGGGCGUAAAGCGUGCGUAGGUGGUGAGUUAAGUCUGAUGUGAAAUCCCCGGGCUCAACCUGGGAAUGGCAUUGGAUACUGGCUCGCUGGAGUGCGGUAGAGGGUGGUGGAAUUCCCGGUGUAGCAGUGAAAUGCGUAGAGAUCGGGAGGAACAUCUGUGGCGAAGGCGGCUACCUGGACUGAUACUGACGCUGAGGCGCGAGAGCGUGGGGAGCAAACAGG